AGCCCCGUCCUCCGCACCGCCUCGCGCAGUGUCCUUUCCCACACCAUCCAUCCCUUCCCAGUCCUAUCGGACUUUCCCCUCUCCUUUCCCCUUAGUUUUCCCGCCGCGCAGGCCUUUCCUCAGCCUCUUCACAACGCACCUCAGCCCCCCUCCAGUUCACUGCCGUCAUCUUUCCCUCCACUUUUGGGCCCUAGAAUGUUUGGUGUUAGAUGUCCCGCAUAGAAAGCCACAGACCUUGACAUCUCAGGAUGAGUUGCCGCCUUGGUAGCCUCCGUGUUUUACUUUCUUUAUUCUGUGCACUCGCAUCACUACUACUAAUAAGUAGUAGUUCAUUACUACUCUCUCACUGUACCUUUAACUCGGUAUUUUUUUUUUUCUACUGCCGUCGCUGCCCUCUUCCCUACACAGGCCCUCUGCCGCCUCAGGAGUGUAAACCGCUAGAAGGGAAGGCGUCGAGGUCUCCAGCCCCAGGCCCAGGCACGCGCGCGGUAGCCGCCCCACCUUUGUUGAAGCGGGAGGGGGGAGGGGAAAUGGCUUUAGUAUCUGUAGCUCCAUCUGGUCAAGGACGGAGCUUUAGAUCAGAUAAGAAGAAUCUGGCUGCCCAAGUGGAGCAGAAAAAGAUCUCACAACAGAUCAGUAUGCGGGGGUGGGGGGAUCCCACCAGUGAGAAGAGACCCCCUGUUCCCCGGUUCCCCCGCCCUGCUCAUUCCCUGGAACCAGCAGCCCCUUUGGUGGAACCUCUGUGCUCCCUGUUCUGCCCGCCCCCCGCCAGCUCUGGGUGCCGCCUUUACAGAUCGGCUCCCACCAUGACAAGGUCUCAGGCUUCUGUCCCUCCUCAUCUCCUCUUCCUCUCCAGUCCCAAGACCCCUUCUCUGCUGACUCAGCCCAGAGGGAUCCAGGGCUCAGGAUUUGGGAUUACCUGGGUGUGUGAGGCCUCUCCCCAGGGAGCCUCCAUCCCACAAUGCAGCCCUGCCCAUAAGGGUGGAGAGGGGCAGCAUUACCCACGCC
This 1008-nucleotide long non-coding RNA is filed under the name Sus scrofa (pig). RNAcentral describes it as "lncRNA (ENSSSCG00070021734.1)". Lineage: Eukaryota; Metazoa; Chordata; Mammalia; Artiodactyla; Suidae. The record is from RNAcentral.